AAACCAACAGGGAUUGCCUUAGUAGCGGCGAGUGAAGCGGCAAAAGCUCAAAUUUGAAAUCUGGCACUUUCAGUGUCCGAGUUGUAAUUUGAAGAAGGUAUCUUUGGGUCUGGCUCUUGUCUAUGUUUCUUGGAACAGAACGUCACAGAGGGUGAGAAUCCCGUGCGAUGAGAUGUCCCAGACCUAUGUAAAGUUCCUUCGAAGAGUCGAGUUGUUUGGGAAUGCAGCUCUAAGUGGGUGGUAAAUUCCAUCUAAAGCUAAAUAUUGGCGAGAGACCGAUAGCGAACAAGUACAGUGAUGGAAAGAUGAAAAGAACUUUGAAAAGAGAGUGAAAAAGUACGUGAAAUUGUUGAAAGGGAAGGGCUUGAGAUCAGACUUGGUAUUUUGUAUGUUACUCUCUCGGGGGUGGCCUCUACAGUUUACCGGGCCAGCAUCAGUUUGGGCGGUAGGACAAUUGCAAAGAAAUGUGGCACUGCCUCGGUAGUGUGUUAUAGUCUUUGUCGAUACUGCCAGCCUAGACUGAGGACUGCGGCUUCGGCCUAGGAUGUUGGCAUAAUGAUCUUAAGUC
This 568-nucleotide ribosomal RNA is filed under the name Lodderomyces orthopsilosis. RNAcentral's name for it is "Candida orthopsilosis partial large subunit ribosomal RNA". It matches the Rfam family "Eukaryotic large subunit ribosomal RNA", at positions 62 to 646 of the family's 3401-position model. The record is from RNAcentral. Lineage: Eukaryota; Fungi; Ascomycota; Pichiomycetes; Serinales; Debaryomycetaceae.